GGUAGGGGGCCUGAGAGGGUGACCCCCCACACUGGCACUGAAACACGGGCCAGACACCUACGGGUGGCAGCAGUAGGGAAUAUUGCACAAUGGGCGAAAGCCUGAUGCAGCAACGCCGCGUGCACGAUGAAGGCCUUCGGGUUGUAAAGUGCUUUUCGGGGAGAUGAGGAAGGACAGUAUCCCCGGAAUAAGGAUCGGCUAACUACGUGCCAGCAGCCGCGGUAAAACGUAGGAUCCGAGCGUUAUCCGAAUUUACUGGGCGUAAAGCGCGUGCAGGCGGUUCGGUAAGUUGGAUGUGAAACCUCCCGGCUCAACUGGGAGAGGUCGUUCAAUACUGUCGGACUCGAGGAUGGUAGAGGGAGGUGGAAUUCCCGGUGUAGUGGUGAAAUGCUUAGAUAUCGGGAGGAACACCAGUGGCGAAGGCGGCCUCCUGGGCCAUUCCUGACGCUAAGACGCGAAAGCUAGGGUAGCAAACGGGAUUAGAAACCCCGGUAGUCCUAGCAGUAAACGAUGUGGACUUGGCGUUGGUGGGGUAAAAUCCAUCAGUGCCGUAGCUAACGCGGUAAGUCCACCGCCUGGGGAUUACGACCGCAAGGUUAAAACUCAAAGGAAUUGACGGGGCCCCGCACAAGCAGCGGAGCGUGUGGUUUAAUUCGACUACGCGAAGAACCUUACCCGGGUUUGACAUACUGGUGGUAGGGAUCCGAAAGGUGACCGACCCUUCGGGGAGCCAGUACAGGUGCUGCAUGGCUGUCGUCAGCUCGUGUCGUGUGAUGUCCGGUUAAGUCCGGUAACGAGCGCAACCCUUGCCGUAUGUUAUAUGUGUCAUACGGGACUGCUGGUAUAAAGCCGGAGGAAGGUGGGGAUGACGUCAAGUCAGCAUGGCCUUUAUAUCCGGGGCUACACACACGCUACAAUGGCCGGUACAGUAGGUUGCAAAACCGCGAGGUGGAGCCAAUCCAUAAAGCCGGUCUCAGUUCAGAUUGUAGGCUGCAACUCGCCUACAUGAAGUCGGAGUUGCUAGUAACCGCAGGACAGCUAUACUGCGGUGAAUACGUUCCCGGGGCUUGUACACACCGCCCGUCACGUCAUGGGAGCUGGCAACACCUGAAGCCGGUAUCCUAACCGCAAGGAGGGAGCCGUCGAAGGUGGGGCUGGUGACUGGGACGAAGUCGUAACAAGGUAGGAGUACCGGAAGGUGCGCCUG
This 1207-nucleotide ribosomal RNA is filed under the name metagenome. Its description in RNAcentral is "bacterial SSU rRNA". It matches the Rfam family "Bacterial small subunit ribosomal RNA", at positions 282 to 1520 of the family's 1533-position model. The record is from RNAcentral.